GGAAGUAAAAGAACAAGGUCUCCGUAGGUGAACCUGCGGAGGGAUCAUUACGAGAGAUGGUGGGCUUCGGCCCCCGUCCCCCAACCCUUUGUUGACAAAACCAUUUUGCCUCGGGGGCAGAGCGUCCGCCGCCGCCCCCGGAGGACCACCGAACGCUGUCUCUUUACGUCGGAGUAUCAAUCAAAUGUAUGAAAACUUUUAACAACGGAUCUCUUGGUUCUG
This 222-nucleotide unclassified non-coding RNA is filed under the name plant metagenome. Its description in RNAcentral is "partial contains small subunit ribosomal RNA, internal transcribed spacer 1, and 5.8S ribosomal RNA". The record is from RNAcentral.